Molecule: long non-coding RNA, 2889 nt
Filed under: Solanum tuberosum (potato)
Lineage: Eukaryota; Viridiplantae; Streptophyta; Magnoliopsida; Solanales; Solanaceae
Description: long non-coding RNA (STUB_LNC003677)
Source: RNAcentral
CUAACCCUAAACAUUAUUCAACUCAUUUUCUCUUCUCCUUCCUUCCGCCUCCUCCCUUCCUCUUCUCCGGCGAGCUCGAGCAGCACCCAGGCGAGCGAACCAGAGCUCCGGCCAGCAGCACCAGGCGAGGCAGUGCAGCAAGCAGCAACCAGCACUGUCUUCUCUCCACCAGCAACAGCAGCAACCAGACGACGCCACCAGCAAACCUCCAUCGCUGACAGCAGUUCCGACCAGCAACAGCAGCAGCCGACGAAGACAGCUGGCAGCAGCUCCAGAUCCAGCCAGCAACACCAACGCCACCAUCAGCUCCAGCCGGCGACAAAAGCAGCAGCUCCACGCACUGGCAACAGCAGCAAGGUCCGCUGCUUUCUCUCCCUCUUCUAGUCCUCAGCGAGCAGCGACGACAACAACAACAACUCCGGCGAAGUCAGCUCGAGGUCCUAGUCAUCUGAGAAAACAGAUCUAAACAGAUCUGUGUGGGUUCGUUUUCGUUUUAAUAUUCUCUUAAAUUGCCUAUUAUGAUCAUUAAUCUAUCAUUACAUGACUGCUCUAUACGGAAUUCUAUAGUAUCGUUAUCGUUAGAAUCAUGUUCUUGUUUUAAGCAUAAGAUAAAUCGGGAUUUGCUUGAUCUUAUGGACUGUUCUUAAGGAUUUUCUGAAUUCUGAAAGUAUGUGUAUUUGUAGUUGUGUUGAAAUGGCAUGCUCUCCUUAAGUUGGUCGAGUGUAACUUUGAUAUUGAUAUACCUCUGAAAUUUAGCAUUUGAUUGCAUAUGGUAGUAAUAGUUUUUUAAUUGAAAUCACCGUUUCUUAGAAUUGCUUAUAUAUAUUAUCAUCCAUUGGGAUUGAUUUGAUAAUAAUCACCUUAGUUGAUUAAGUUAGCAUCUUGACUAAUUCCUUAAUUUGCUAAAAUAAUUAAUUACUAGUUCAGGGCUUUCUUUCGCUAUUAGGACGAAAUUUAGUUUUCCAUAAAUUGUUGUUGUCUAUGCUUAAUUUGGGGGUAAUUUACUGGAAUCCUCUCUUUGCCUAUGGCAAGAAUAAAUUAAUAAAUAAAGCAUGUGAGUUUUAAUUAUGGUGAUAGUUAUUUCUUUCCUUAUAAAAUUAUUUGUGUUGAUUUUAAAUUAAUACAUCCUUGCCUUAUUUAUUUAUAGACAUAUUCUUACUUAUUCUAUUUUGGUAAAAUUUUGACCGUAUCAUGAGGUACUAGUAAUUUGCUUUUAGUCUUUAUUUUGGUAGCUAACAUUUUGAUAUGUUUCCUUACCUUAUGCCUGCAGACUGAUUUUUAGCUCCUUUGAAAUAAGGAAAUUGUUUAUUAAUUGAUUCCUUAAAUUAUUUAUUUUCCUUACAUGUGCCCCUCUCCUAUUAUAUAAAUAGGACCCCUCCCUUCACUAUAAAGGGCCGGACAUUCUAACUUUCAGAAUGACUCUUACAUUCUAAUAUUGCUCUCAUAUAUGCAUACAUGAAAUACUAAAAAUCACUCUUCUCGCUACUUUUAAAGAAUUAAGUUUUCCGAUAAAAAUAUUGAAGUUCCCCCUCUCUAAUUACCGUUUUGCUGUGUUGCUGUUCCGAUUGGAUUUGCCUCUAGUACUUCAUUGCUGAUAAAAAAUAUUCUGCUUAAUUGGUUAGUCCUUCUCGUUAGUGUAAUUUGAUUUUGCAUCAUUUGCAUGAUUAUAUGUUUGAAAAUAAAUAAAAAGGUAUCACCCAUGUCCGUUUUAUAUCCCAUCUCAUUUCCAUUGUGUGCUUUAAUAUGACUAUGUGUUUGCUUCAUGAUUCUGUCUAUAUAAUCGAUCUCAUAUAUAAUAUUUGCUUUGUUAUAUCUAUACGUACUCGUAGUAUUCCUUUCUUUGGUUUAACAGGUUUUGAACUUGAAGUUCAAGUUGAAGAGUUACCAUGAGACAAGAUUAUUUAAUUUAUGUAUUUGGAAUUCGCGCUUAUUAUUUAUUUUUGAUUUGUAAUAUUUGUAUAACUCUUGAACUAUCUCUAUAUGAUAUAACUUGGGGGAUCGUCUAAAGGGGGAGGGGUUUACAUGCUACUUGUUAUAUUAUCACAACUUGUUAGAGAACAAGCUCAUAGGAGUGUGAUUUAAUUGUGUGGUCAUUCCUUGCUCUAAAUUUACUUAAAAUAAAAUGGUCUUGCCGAUAUUUAAUUGCUUUAAGUUGUAAAUACGUUCUAUGUUGACCAUUUCAUGUUAACUAAUUAUAUCUAAAAUAAGUAAUAAACUUGUUAUAAUGCAAUCUUAGCAUGUAAUAAUAAAUAAUUAGUGUGACCUUUACAAGUUGAUCUAUGUUACCGUGUUGGUGAACCACAAUUUUCUUGUAUAAAAUGUAUAAAACUGGUAAAAUAAAUAAUUGAUUUGCUCAAUAUGUCACAUAUGUGAUUUAACUUAGAAGCCAUGCCUAUAGGAUUGAAUCAAAUAUUUGCAUGUCAAUAAAAUGCCCGUAAGUGUUCAUAAAUUUGUUUACAUCUAGAAAUCAUGCCUAUAGGUUCCUGAAAUAUAUUAUGUCUUACAUAGAAAUCAUGUAUAUAGGUUUAUAAAUCCGUUUUUCAGCAUGUUAAUUAAUUAAAUAGCAUUUUGUUUUAAAAUUUUGCCACUGUUCAAUGGCAUAAUUGUUUUCUGGCCAUUUAGAAUAAACAUUGAUAAUUGACUAUUGCUUUUCUGCCCAUAUAUUUCUAUCUAAACUAAUCUGCCCGGAUAAAAUCAGCUACUAAUAAUCUAUUACAUAUGCUACUUGCUACUCUAAUUCAACUCCGCUUUAAAUAUUAAUCUCUGCAUCAUAAUUUUGCCACUUAGAAUCAGCCAAUGAUUAAUUCAUGCAGCUAUAAACUGAUUGCUACUUAAAAUAAAUAUUUGUAUUAAUAAGUUGACCUGCUACUGCUCUAAAAAAUUUAUUUC